GCCUCCUCCCUGGGGUGUGAGCAGGUCGGCAUGACACACUUCUCCAGACGCGCGCCCAGGGACGAGCUGGCGGAGGGGCCCAGGCAGUUCCAGCUGCGGCACUCCAGUGGAAGUGGUUGGCACUGAGCCUGGAGGCCGAAGGAGGGGGGCAACACUCCUGCCGCGAUUCGGAGGAGAGCUACACUAGGCCAGCCUAACGACACUCGGAGUGCGAGCUGCGGCUGGGGUAGGGGCAGCCCCUUCCAGUGGGCGUGUGGGUCACCUAGGAGCAGUUCUCGGGGACCCGUUGCAUCCGAGGGACUGGGCGGGGUUGGGCGGGGCUGGACGCGGGCAGCGCUCAGGAGUCCUGGAACUCGCUGGCCCUGCGGCCACGGGCAGAGGCGUGGUCCUGAGCCCCUGCGCGGUUUCUGGUGCGUAGAGACUUUAAAUCACUGCGCUUCGCAGUCAUCAUCACCCCAGCUUUUCUCGGCUGGAAUUCAGCCUCCAACUCAAGAUCACGGGAAAGACUACCUGAGAGGAGAAAAGCUUCUGUCCCUGUACCUUCUUCUGAGGGUGGUGAGGUUUGUUUAGGGUCGCAGAAUCAGGGAGGACUGACCCAGCCCUCACAGAGAAGAGGGCUGGAAAGUCCUGGAGAACCCGCAGAGCACGGGCCGCUGUCGCGGUUGGGAGGCGAGGGCGCAGCGCUGGGGUCCUAGAUUCCGAGACCCCUGAGGGUGGCUGUGUUGGUUUCUCCCAGGAGUCGGAGGCUCCCUGCUCUCCAGCCGCCCAGUGACCCAAGAUUAAUCUUCAGCACCACUUGGGGCGACCUUUUCAGUGCAAAGCUCUGAUUCUGUUUCUCAGGAUUCCUCCCCACCCCAUUCCGCCCGGGAAAAGCUGACAAGAACUUCAGGUGUAAGCCCUGAGUAGUGAGGACCAGUGGUCCCCGCGGAGAGCUGUGCCUGGAAGAGAAGGACGCUGGUGGGGCUGAGAUCAGAGCUGCCUUCUGGUCCCGUGGCCCCCAUGCUUCUGUCAUGGCUAACAGUUCUAGGGGCUGGAAUGGUCGUCCUGCACUUCGUGCAGAAACUCCUGUUCCCUUACUUUUGGGAUGACUUCUUAUUCCUGGUGAAGGUGGUGCUCGUUAUAAUUCGGCUGAAGAAGUACGAAAAGCGAGGGGAGCUGGUGACUGUACUGGAUAAAUUCUUGAGUCAUGCCAAAAGACAACCUCGGAAACCUUUCAUCAUCUAUGAGGGAGACAUCUACACCUAUCAGGAUGUAGACAAAAGGAGUAGCAGAGUGGCCCAUGUUUUCCUGAACCAUUCCUCUCUGAAAAAGGGGGACACCGUGGCUCUACUGAUGAGCAAUGAGCCGGACUUCGUUCACGUGUGGUUCGGCCUCGCCAAGCUGGGCUGCGUGGUGGCCUUUCUCAACUCCAACAUUCGCUCCAACUCCCUCCUGAAUUGCAUCCGCGCCUGUGGGCCCACAGCCCUAGUGGUGGGCGCAGAUUUGCUUGGAACUGUAGAAGAAAUCCUUCCAAGCCUCUCAGAAAAUAUCAGCGUUUGGGGGAUGAAAGAUUCAGUUCCACAAGGCAUAAUUUCACUCAAAGAAAAACUGAGCACCUCAUCUGAUGAGCCCGUGCCACGCAGCCGCCAUGUUGUCUCACUCCUCAAGUCUACUUGUCUUUACAUUUUUACCUCUGGAACAACAGGUCUACCAAAAGCAGCUGUGAUUAGUCAGCUGCAGGCUUUAAGGGGUUCUGCUGUCCUGUGGGCUUUUGGUUGUACUGCUGAUGACAUUGUUUAUAUAACCCUUCCUCUGUAUCAUAGUUCAGCAGCUAUCCUGGGAAUUUCUGGAUGUGUUGAGUUGGGUGCCACUUGUGUGUUAAAGAAGAAAUUCUCAGCAAGCCAGUUUUGGAAUGACUGCAAGAAGUAUGAUGUGACUGUGUUUCAGUAUAUUGGAGAACUUUGUCGCUACCUUUGCAAACAAUCUACGAGAGAAGGAGAAAGGGAUCAUAAGGUGCGUUUGGCAAUUGGAAACGGUAUGCGGAGUGAUGUAUGGAGAGAAUUUUUAGACAGAUUUGGAAAUAUAAAGGUGUGUGAACUUUAUGCAGCUACUGAAUCAAACAUAUCUUUCAUGAACUACACUGGGAAAAUUGGAGCAAUUGGGAGAGCAAAUUUCUUUCACAAACUUCUUUCCACUUUUGACUUAAUAAAGUAUGACUUUCAGAAAGAUGAACCCAUGAGAAAUGAACAGGGUUGGUGUAUUCAUGUGAAAAAAGGAGAACCUGGACUUCUCAUUUCUCGAGUGCAUGCAAAAAAUCCCUUCUUUGGCUAUGCUGGGCCUUACAAGCACACAAAAGACAAAUUGCUUUGUGAUGUUUUUAAGAAGGGAGAUGUUUACCUUAACACUGGAGACUUGAUAGUCCAGGAUCAGGACAAUUUCCUUUAUUUUUGGGACCGUACCGGAGACACUUUCAGAUGGAAAGGAGAAAAUGUCUCAACCACUGAGGUUGUUGAUGUUAUUGGAAUGUUGGAUUUCAUACAGGAAACAAACGUCUAUGGUGUGGCUAUAUCAGGUUAUGAAGGAAGAGCAGGAAUGGCUUCUAUUAUUUUAAAACCAAAUAAAUCUUUAGAUUUGGAAAAAGUUUAUGAACAAGUUGUAACAUCUUUACCAGCUUAUGCGUGUCCACGAUUUUUAAGAAUUCAGCAGUGUGAAGAUGAGGGAGAGGAGAAGAAUAUGAAAAAUGGAAUUCCUGCCAAAAUCCAAGUUGCCAGGACAAAAAAACAGGGGAAAAAGGACUGGGAUGGGAGGAGCAGCCAAGAGAUUUUAUAAGCCACAGUGUGCAUGAUGGAUGAGAACACAGGACACAUACCAGCGAAGGGCAGAAAAUGUUACUUAUCGACACUGGACUAAAAAAAGACUGUGUGCACAACCCAUAGAUAACCCAAGUCUUACUGAGAGAAAACAUCAGACAAAUCCUAAUUGAGAACAUUCUACAAAAUACCUGACCAGCACUCCUGAAAACCACCAAGGUCAGGAAAAACAAAAAAUGGUAACUAAAUGUAAUGUGAUGUCGUGAAUAGGGUUCUGGAUCAGGAAAGGACAUUAGGUAAAAACUAAGGAAAAUUGAAUAAAUAAUAAUGUAGUAAUAUUGCUCAUUAAUUUUCACAAAUAUAUCACCCUAAUUUAAGAUAUAAUAAUAGGAGAAACUGGGUGUUGGACAUAUAUAUGGGUGCCCUCUAUAUGACCCAAUUUUCCUGUAAAUAUAAAAGUAUCCUAAAAUAAAAUGUUUAUUUUAAAAAAAAUCCCCCCCUCCAAAAAAAUCCUGUGAAUCUGUUUAAUGUACUGCAGUAUGAACAUGAUUUCAGAGGGUGAACAGUUAAUAAAUGUUUUUAUGACAGCUCAAUAAAUCCAUCCCCUUCUCUAAGGUUUUCAGGUUUACUUUCUGGCACUACAAGAGAUACUCUAGGCUCAACUUGCUUACUACUUGCCCCAGUCCGGCCAUCAGCCAUUCCUGUUUCCUUUUAUUGGAGAAUAGAAGAAUCUAAGGACUGGGAUGUUACUGGUGUUUUGUUGCUUCUAGGCCCUGCCAGCUGGCUGACAGAUCAAGGAAAUAUACCUGUGACUUAUUAAGAAUGAAAAUGAGAAGAGGAGGUGGAGCAAGAUGGUCAAAUAGAACCAUUCACUGAUCAUCCUCCCCGCAGGAACACCAAAUUGAACAACUAUCUACAUAAUAAAGCACCUUCAUAAGAAGCAAAAAUCAGCCAACCACUGAGCUACCACCACAGUUGAUCUGAUAAUCCACAAGGCUCCUACGUGACUAACAGGCAACGGAAUCGCAUGGAAGAGUGUGCAAGGCAUUUAUCAAAGCCUUGAAGACAGGGGCCCUAACCAGUAGCUGGAGAAUAUUUUCAGAGUUCCCCCACGGAGAAGACUGCAAAAGCUGUUUUGAUACUUGACUUUUCUUGCCUGCUUUAUCACAACAUUUGAGAAACUACAAAUGGAGUCAAAGAAUCUUGUUUGGAGUCGGCUGAGUAAAUCCAGUAAUCCUCUAAUAAUAGUGAACUCAGGAUUAAUUUACAAUAGAGAGAAAUAACUCACCUAAAAUAUCACCUCUGACUGAAUAAUAUCAAUCAGGAUUAUUUUACAAUAUAGACAAAUAGUUUGCCUAGAAAUAUCACCUUUGACUGAAUAUAUCUUUGAAUUUUCAAUAUAGUAUCAUGAAGAUACAUUUGGUGUAACAACUCUUCAACAAAUAUUUAUAGUGUCAGGCAGUGUUCUAGGAGUUGUGACACAGAUGAGAACAAAAUAAACAAGUCUCUGCUUUCAUAAUGUAUACAAACGGUAACAAGUAUUAAGAAGGAGAAGAAAAAGGAGGCAGGAAAUAGGCCUAAAGUGGGAUUAUAGUGACAUUUUAUAUAAGGCAGUAAAGGUGGGCCUUUUUGAUUUGAGAUACAUAUUUGUGCACAGACAAAUGAGGUAGCAGAAGCUGUGUGGCUAUCUGGGAGAAGAGAGUUUCCAGGCAGAAAGAAUGGGAAGUACAAAGGAUGAGGAACAUUAAAGGGAAUACUGGGGCUUCAGUAGAGAGAGUCGUGGCAGAAAUUAGGAUCAGAGAGAUAAGACAUUGGAUUGUACUUUUUAAGGUAAAAAUUUACAUGUAAUAAAAUGCAUCUCUUAAAGUA
This is a non-coding RNA of Macaca mulatta (Rhesus monkey), 4658 nucleotides long. NCBI's taxonomy places the organism in Eukaryota, Metazoa, Chordata, Mammalia, Primates, Cercopithecidae. The record is from RefSeq and is a predicted model, not a curated record.